Molecule: long non-coding RNA, 1302 nt
Organism: Passer domesticus (house sparrow)
Lineage: Eukaryota; Metazoa; Chordata; Aves; Passeriformes; Passeridae
Exons: 4
Source: RefSeq, a predicted model, not a curated record
UGCAGGUGUAGCAGCGCUGCCGCGUGUGUCAUCACCUCCGCCAAAUGGCACAUUCCUCCCUUCUCACUCCUAAGCCAGGCGCGUAGCUCUUUGGCAGGGCUCGCUCGCUAGCAGAGGACAUUUGACAUGCGAGGGUCUGGUUUGGUUUUUUUGACAGCCCCACCAAGGGGAUUUCGGAUGAACACCGAAGCUCAGCCCAGCGCUGGGAGCGGCGGUCGGGCCGAGUAGCAAAGGCUCCUGCAGAGGAGGUGCUGCCCUGGGAGAAAGCCAGCCAGACACAGCCACGUGCUGUAAAAUCCACGUGUGUACUCAGACUACAUUAUGACCACCAAGGGUUCCAGGAUCAUUUCAUGAGGGUUCUACGAGCAGUCUCUGAGAAUGCGCUGCUUUUUGAAGCACAUGAAGAACAGCAGCAGUAAACUUCUGACAUCAGUGCUCUCUGCAGUGGUUAAAAGAGGAGAUAAUCCAGAUUUACAUUCUCUGGGAACAGGCUCAGAAACAGGCAGCCAGCCCGUGAGUGAUACCCUGCUGCCACUGCACUCCCCUGCAUUUACAGCACAGUCCAGGGAGCUGCAAAAGAACAACCUCCAUGCCAUUAUUAGAUUUCAUCUACAUAUUAGGUUUCCUCUGCCUAUGCCUCGUUUGAGAACAGGGCUACAGACAGACACCCCAGCCCUGGAAUAAAUAAUUAAUAACAACAGAAAAGGUUUGUCCCAGAGCCUGAACCUCUCAGUCAGAAGAGCUGUAGUUACUACACAGUUUAAUAUGUGAAGGAGGAACUUGACACACAGAAAGUCAUCUUUAACUGGCUGUGUUUUCCAGUUGGAUAAGCUUUUUAAAAAGAACAUAAGCAGAACUAGAAGCCAGAAGAAAAGGUGUGCCACAUUUCCUGGAUAUUCCGUACUCUAUAGAUUUCACUGGAGCCUUUAAAGCAGUAUUGGGACAAACGAAAACAAGAGUUUCUGUGGGUUAAACAUCAAUGUAAAAUUUCUUUUAUCUCAAAUAAAUUUAAACUGGUCAAAAGCUCCUUAAAAUAUAACAAAAAAAUAUUACGGAGAUGUUAUUUGUUGCUUAUUUUUGCUUUAUAACAAAACCAGCAUUUGCUGCCUGUCAGCGCUGUGUAUACAACCUGGGUUGAGGAAUAUGGAAAACAGAAGCACUGGAUUUCUUUGCUGCCAGCUGAACUCCUACUCAAACAAGGGAUUCAUUACAAAGUUGUGUUCAGUGGGUGUUAAACAAGUGAGUGGAAGCAAGCAAACAUUGCAAUUUGUGUGACACUCACAGUGCAGCACAGAACAGCAC